Long non-coding RNA from Tupaia belangeri chinensis (Chinese tree shrew), 614 nucleotides. RefSeq lists it as uncharacterized. Lineage: Eukaryota; Metazoa; Chordata; Mammalia; Scandentia; Tupaiidae. The transcript is spliced from 2 exons. The record is from RefSeq and is a predicted model, not a curated record.
CAGCUGACUUUGGCCUUUGGCAAGUAGCCCUGCAGGCUUGCUAUGUGGCAGAGUGGGCAGGUUACCGACUCCUCUCCACCCACACCCUCCUCCCACGUCCGGACCAGAGUGAAGGUCACACGUCUGAAUCAUCUCUGUGUUUAGGUUGCUGAAGACCAAGCUAACUCGGGACGCCAGCUGUUUGAACUGGAACCACAUUCCUGUUUUGACAUGAAAGGCAAAGGGAUCCCGUUUGGUACUACAUGAGGGAUGGUUAAAUUUACAUAGGAGGCAAGGCAAACAUCGAUGGUGAGGUCAUGCUGAUAACAGGUGUCUUUAUGGGACCCACAAAUAUACCAUUUACCUCACAAGCACCAACUGCAUUUCAAGGUUUUCCAUCAAUGGGGGUACCCGUGCCUGCAGCUCCUGGCCUUAUCGGAAACGUGAUGGGACAAAAUGCAAGCAUGAUGGUGGGCAUGCCCAUGCCCAAUGGGUUUAUGGGAAAUGCACAAACUGGUGUGAUGCCACUUCCUCAAAAUGUUGUUGGCCCCCAGGGAGGAAUGGUUGGACAGAUGGGUGCACCCCAAAGUAAGUUUGGCUUGCCACAAGCUCAACAGCCCCAGUGGAACCUCUCA